Molecule: non-coding RNA, 135 nt
Organism: Aspergillus carlsbadensis
Lineage: Eukaryota; Fungi; Ascomycota; Eurotiomycetes; Eurotiales; Aspergillaceae
Source: the annotation of a GenBank genome assembly
GGCAAGGUGGCCGAGUGGUCUAAGGCGCACGGUUCAGGUCUACUGAGCCCCUGACUCUGCCCAUCGCGCAUGCGCGCGGUGAGUUUUAAAUUCCGUGUCUCGCAAGAGACGUGGGUUCGAAUCCCACCCUUGUCA